Molecule: long non-coding RNA, 1916 nt
Filed under: Homo sapiens (human)
Lineage: Eukaryota; Metazoa; Chordata; Mammalia; Primates; Hominidae
Description: HSALNT0099709
Source: RNAcentral
CCGCCACCGCCUCAGGGAAGAGGAAGGAGGCCGCGGCUUCGCGUCCCGCCUCUCGCCUGGCUGGCCGUGGGGGGCCUGGACGCAGUGGCCUCCCGAAUCUCCCAGGACCCUAAUAUCGCCCGAGGAUGCUGGGAGGAACGCUGAGCCGACCUCUCCGUUAGGCUGAAGAUUGCACAAACCAUGCUAAUGGCCAGCAUGGAUGGAGGGAGCGUGUGAGAUGUGUGGGGCAGCGUGCUGCAUCUCAGCCAACUCCAGGAGCCAGUUGAUGUGAUGGACUACCUUAAUUGAUUUUUGAAUGUUGAGCCAGCCUUAUGCAUGUGGGAUAAACCCCUGUUGAUCAUGGCUGGCUGGAGUGCAGUGGUGCAAUCAUGGCUCACUGCAACCUCAAAUUCCUGGGCUCAAGGGAUCCUCCUGCCUCAGCCUCCCAAGUAGCUAGGACUACAGGAAGCAUGCUCAUGGCAAUACCCGGAGUCUCCACUGCAAGACCAGAGUGACGGAGGCAGCAGAGCUCCUCAGCAGGCCAGGAGUCUCCAGAGGCACUGCCGAAUGUCUAAGAAGCAACCUCAUUGUAUUCCCAAGACCUGGGAAUCCAGGUCUCGCAGAUACGAUGAUACAAUCUAUAGCCAGGACAUCUCUUCAUGUGUAGGAUAAGCAACUAUCCCAGUCUUCCCAGGAUUGAGGGGCUUCUCCAGAUGCUGCACUUCUGGUGCUAAAAAUGAGAAACUGAAAUGAAUUAGUCACCCAAGGAAUGCUGACCCUGUGCUAUAUGAUCACAUUUACUCUUUAAAGCAAUGCUUUGAGACAUGAAAGCCAGAUAGGGAAGAAUUUGCAGCCUCAUACUGAUUGGCCAGUUGAGGAGUCAACUCAUCUCUCUUAUAGAAAAAAGAAGAUUACAUUUACGGAAUACAGAAUAUACUGUGCUCUCUACUUACCAAGAGAUUUCUUUCUCUACUGACAACUUUCUGUUGACGUGGUUACUGUGCAGGUUCUGACAGUCGAUUCUUUCCACCUAGUUCACUGCUGAAGCUAUAAUGAUUUCCAUUUUGCAAAAAGAGGAUGAUUACUUAUUAUCUGUGACCAUUUCUCAAUUCCAGAACAAUUGAGCUGCAUAGUCCCUGCAAUCUUAUAAAGGCAUUUGGCCUGGAAGAUGCUCUGCAGCCAUGUGCCAAGAAUAACGGCUAUAGGGACAAUGUUUCAUUAACCCCAAAGCAGCAACCUGAACCUCUUACUGUACAAUAUCUGCUCCGUUCAGAAUUAGCUCGACUUGAGUCACAGGAUGAAGCUUACCAAAAGGAAUUUCCACGUCCAAGGAAGGAACCAAGAUCACUGAGAGGUUAUAGUAUGAAAAGUGAAGAGAAAAAACCUAUUCUAAACAUUUUAUUAAUUGUCAAUAAUUAUUUUAAAAUAUUUAAUAUAGUCUCCUACCUGGUCCACUGGCAUCAAGCUGCCAAAUUUACACGGUCACUUUGGGAAGCCAGCUGGCAGGCAAACAUGGAAAGUGCUGGCUCCUAGCGUAGUGAGAAGACCACAGAUAGAUGGUAAUUUUCUUCUUUGUUUUAUUUUUCUUUUUCUUCUCUCCCUCUUUUUCUUCCCUCUUGCCUUUCCCUCCCAUUGCCCACUUUCUUUUUUUGGCUGCCGAAGAUUUAUUGCCUUUCAGUACUUAUAGAUGAUGUUUUCAUAAGUUCUAAUGAGGUCCCAGCAGUUUUUAACAAUAACAGGACAUUACUGUUCCUAAGAUAUAUUAUGUGUUUUCCCUCAUCUUUCUCCCUUGAAUGAAAUGCUUAGAAGUAGGCUAACCCCCAAUUCCCUUCCCUUUACUAUGAUAAAUGGCUCCAUUACUUAAUAGGGCUAAAUACUCUGCUGUGACUUUUAUACUGCUGAUUUGAAUAAAAUCUUACGAAAAGCUUUUCUCGUGU